Phyllostomus discolor (pale spear-nosed bat) is the source of this 1051-nucleotide long non-coding RNA. RefSeq lists it as uncharacterized. The transcript has 3 exons. The record is from RefSeq and is a predicted model, not a curated record. NCBI's taxonomy places the organism in Eukaryota, Metazoa, Chordata, Mammalia, Chiroptera, Phyllostomidae.
UUCUCCUCCUGCGUGAGGAGGGCGUCACUCUGGAGUCAAGGACCUGAAAGGAGACGAUGGCCGGUUUACAAAGGUGCCUGGAACUCAGCCCACGGCAGCACAGCCCAGUACGGGUGACCCAGGGCCUCAAGCCCACAGGCCCCUAGACCACAGCCCAGCACCUGGGGUGACCCCUGAUGGACAUGCAGCUCCAAGUGAGACCACGUCCCCAGGUGCACGGAGUGUGGUCCCCGUUCCUGGAUGUCUCUGCCUCUGCUGAGACAUAGCCCGGGCAGCAGAAACAGCUGUGGGCUCGCACCGACCUGUGCCCCAGACCAGCCUUACACCCACGGGGGAGGCAGCUGAGCUCAGUUACCCACUCGAACAAGCUUCCCUGACCCUGUGUGAGAAGUGGGGCGUCCGGACAAGUCCUGCCUGUCCCCUGAGGGCUGCUAGGAUCAAGUGCCUCGAAGGCUCUGAAGAGGCUUCCAAGCCCCCAACUCAGCUUCGUGGGGAGUGAAGACCCCGCACUCAGGGCCCGCAGCUCAGCGCCCUGUGACCGCUGCCGAGUCCUGCGGGCGAUCAGACCGCUGAACACCGAACACACGUAAGGGUUAGGAUCAGAAAACUCAACAGAUGUCCAGCCUCACCCACCUCCCACGACAUAGCUGGGAUCCAAAAAGAAGCAGAAAGCACCUCUGAACGGUCAAAGUGAGUGCCGCGACGCCUUCCGCGCCGGCUCGCUCGGUUCCUUUCGCAGGGACCCCCGAGGCCCUCGCUCGGAGCCAACCCGCUUUCACUGAGCACAGGUCCCUGACAAACGGUAUAACUUGGGUCCAAUGUAAACAAACGCCAAACCCAAGAGGAAAUGCAUACGGUAAGCGUCUCUGCAAAUCUUACAUGUGAGAGCGUCGUGGUCGGAAAUCGGCCCGGACACACUCCCAAUACCCACUCAAGACCGAUAUUCUGUGAUUGCCAUAUUGUGGAUAGGACCCCCUGGUUACGAAGACACGGUGAGAUAAUACUCCCUUUGUUGCUGAGGAAGGCAGGGCCGCCGGGCUGGGGUGGCUCA